GAUGGUAAAACAUGUUACUACGGGUUCUUCAUGUGGAAUGUGACCAUUUUGUUAAAGAAUUAUUAUAACAGAGGCGGUCAACGACAUGAUCAAAAAUUAGUUUCUUUGCGCGUUCCUAUGACAAAAUGCAAUCAACAUGAAAAUUACUUUAAACUGACUGAAUUCUGUAGGCAAACACAAAGACACCGGAUUCUUAAUGUCGUCGCUUUGGUCCAAUUGCAUAAACAUGUGAUGAUCAGCUUCAGAGAAGUCAAAAGGAAAGUAGGAAAACCUCAGCACAACAUAUGCAACAUAACAUCUCAAGUAAACCUAUAGAAGUGACAUUUGAGAAACUUAAAAAAAAAGGAACAAGCUCAUCAGGGGCUUGGGAGCAUUGAUGUGAGGUCUUGACCUUCAGGGAAAUUCUCCGUGUCCUAGAAGUACCUAAAUGGAUGAAUAGAAAGUCACAAUAAGACAGAAGGCGACUAAAAUGUCACACCAAAGCAUGCUAAGAGCCAGUUCUUUUGGGCAAUUCUCCGAGAAUUGACCCCCUCCCCAGCUUCUCCCAGAAUUGCCACUCUAUAUUUUCUUACAAUUCCUAGCUAACUAGAUCUUAACUAGCUAGGAAUUGUAAAAAAAGAUGAAGUGGCAAUUCUAGGAGAAGCUGUGGAGGGGGUCAAUUCUCGGAGAAUUGCCCAAAAGAACUGGCCCUAAGUUGUUGUCCACCAGGUCUUUCACAGAUUGUUAUGUAUUAUAUUUCCUUCCCAUUAGUGUAUAAGGUUGUGCACGAAGGUCACCAAGGUAAGAACAUGCAGAAAUUAAAUCGAAGUUGGUCAGAUACGCAAAUAGCAUCCUAUAUUAGUAAACAGAGGUGCAUACUUCCAUUUAUCAGUAGAUUUCAACUUAUGUUUAUUUUUGUAUAAAGAAUAAUAAAUGUAUAUGUCUAGUAAAAAAACUAUAAAAUCAUGUACUACAUCAGUAAAAUCGAUACGAUCCAACGUAGCACAUGUUGUGAUAAUAUGCACAGCCGGUCGACAUAGAACCUAACUUGUGCUACAUCAUUUAGAUUAAAAAGGACGGGGAAGCUACUACAACUUCCUGUACUGGUCAUCUAAUACAAAUAAACAAUGCAAGAAAAGCCUCUUUUACUUAGACCAUACAUAACAACGAGAGAUGGGAUGGUGACCAUGUAAAAUAAAUUACCGGCAGUGGAGAUCAGCGACAAUCGUGACUCGUCACCAUAAAAGCCAUAAGCCCUCCCACACUCAUCAUACAUAAAUACACAAGAACAUAAGAAAAUAUAUUUUUUAGGAAAAAUGUUCAAAAAUACACAUUUUUUGCUUGUGAUGAUAUACAUGCAGCAGUUAAUGUAUUAUCCAUAAAACAAAGAAUGUAUGCCUCAUAUUAAUCAUCCUUUCACACAUAACUUAACAUGCAGCAAAAGGAUUUAAUCUAUAGUUCAAGAUCAAAAUGAAUGAGUCAUUUACAGUUAGGCAAUUAUUGAUUAUAAUGGAGUGUGAAGACAUCAUAUAUUUACUUGAUGGAAAUUGCAGUCAAGAAAAGCAUAGAAUGAGUCAAGUACCUUCUGGUUUGCCCAAUUUGCUUGUGGUCAUCAAAGGUGUUCUCGAGAUCAAACAACCAAGUAUGAACUCCCAAACUUCUGACCAAAUAGCAGGGUGUACACCUUAAACCACAGAGAAUAGAGAGCCGGCCCGUGUUAGAGAUUUAUAUGAGAGGUAGGCAAAAAAGUAAUGGUCUUAAAAUAAAAUGAGGGAUGUCUCAGAUAUCUUUACCCUUGUCAGAAUCCAGUUUAGAACAUAGGGAAUAUUUAGGGAGCCUUGUUGCAGAAAUAUAGCAUGCCAUUUUCAAUCACCCAAUGUUUUUCAAGCUGAAACUGAACGGAUUGGCACUAUUGAUUUAUCACACUUCUCAGAGAUCAGAAUCCUUCCCAUGGCGCCUCAUUCCGACUGUACACAUACCCAUGCCAAAUUAAUCACAUUUGUAGAACGGUGCUCCAAUGAUGUAAUCUGAGAAUUUGUACAAGACAAUUUUUUCUGAAUACAACCAAGUGUAAGUCGGAUGAAAGUUUACACAUAAUUCAGUCCAAGGGUCUAUGUUGGGCGAGCAGGAGUCACAGCAGCGUGCAGCUUAGCUGCGUACAGCACGGCGGCUAAUCUAAUUGAAUGUGAACUGAUAUACAGAAUUUGUCUGAAUGCUACAUUGAUGUACAGAAUUUUGUGAUGUAAUCUGCCGUCCGUCUAUGUAAUCUGUCCAUGUAUGUUGCUGUCAAAUGUUAUCACUGACGAUCCAUAUGAACUUUGGGUACUGUUUACUUAACUCUGGAGUGAAUCAGUUCAUUUUGCCAAUAAUUUUUGACAAGAACUCUUAUGGACAGAAGUUCAUCUUGCCAAUACUUUUGACAAGAAGCAUGAAAUUUCAUGCAAUUGGCAGAAUUAAAACAAAAGGACAAAAACAAAUGAGAUGGCAAGAUAUCAUGCCACCUGACUACAACAAACCCAGUCGAGUAUCAGAAGCAAUUAAUUGGAGGCAACAUAAUAGUAGUACAAUAACCGGAGAACAUCUGAGUAAAUCAGGAGCCUCAGGUUUAGACACCAAUGAGGACCAAUUGAGCAUGCCAACCACUAUAUUCACAUAAUAAGAUGAACUCGACGUCGCACCAAGCGCUCCUACUACAUUAACAACUACAAUUUCCUAAAUAUCUGAUGAGACAAUCAAUAUAUUAUGCAUCCCACUGAGCAAUACUAUUAUGCAUAAUUCAUUUUAAAAGGCCCUCAGUUCAAAUUUAUAUAAGAUCUCAAAUCUUUGGAGGUAAGUCUCUUCAAAUCUGAGCACAUCUUACCAUCCAAGCAAACUGAAAUAGGAAAGGAAUACUCUAAAUCCGAUGCACCAAAAGUUGAAGAAAACCUCGAUCGGUCUGCUCACCUCAGCUUAGCCGGAGCCACUGUGUAAGUGGCCAAUACCCGGCAAGCGAACGAUUCCCGACGUCUUCCAUGGCGGCAGAGCUCUCCUUCCUUUCACAAAGCGUCUCCCUCACGGACUAGGCAGGGGUGAGGUGAUGCUCACGAAUGAGGCAGGGGCGCGGGCAGCGCCAUCGUGGCUCACAUAGGCACAACCCCCGUGCUACCUCUGCCAAACACCAUGAAGGAGAAGAGGCGGAUGUGACGCGCUAGCUUGACAGACGCAACGACAAUGGGCAACACCUGUAGUACUAAAAGAAAAUCAGCUUUGUUUAAGGUAGUAACUUCCACAGUCGAGAAAAUAGGAGGAUUUGGUAAUCAUAACGCGACUAUCUAUACACAAUCAAACAAAAUCAAAGGGCCAUCUAGCCAAACCAUAAAAAGAAUAUAUUCAUGUAAUCACCUGAAAUCAAAGUUUCAUUGAAGCAUUCAGUUCAACAAUAAACCAUGCAACCUUGAUUCAGGCCUUGUAGGUAUAUUGACGGACCAAACAAGGAUAUCUCACAAUUUAGCCCUCCCUCGGUGUGAGCCUCUC
Molecule: long non-coding RNA, 3492 nt
Filed under: Triticum aestivum (bread wheat)
Lineage: Eukaryota; Viridiplantae; Streptophyta; Magnoliopsida; Poales; Poaceae
Description: long non-coding RNA (TAES_LNC007978)
Source: RNAcentral